Molecule: ribosomal RNA, 460 nt
Filed under: uncultured bacterium
Lineage: Bacteria
Description: partial 16S ribosomal RNA
Rfam family: Bacterial small subunit ribosomal RNA
Source: RNAcentral
CCUACGGGAGGCUGCAGUGAGGAAUAUUGGUCAAUGGGCGCGAGCCUGAACCAGCCAAGUAGCGUGAAGGAUGACUGCCCUACGGGUUGUAAACUUCUUUUAUAAAGGAAUAAAGUGAGCCACGUGUGCCUUUUUGUAUGUACUUUAUGAAUAAGGAUCGGCUAACUCCGUGCCAGCAGCCGCGGUAAUACGGAGGCUCCGAUCUUUAUCCGGAUUUAUUGGGUUUAAAGGGGGCGUAGAUGGGUUGUUAAGUCAGUUGUGAAAGUUUGCGGCUCAACCGUAAAAUUGCAAUUGAUACUGGCAGCCUAGAGUACAGUUGAGGUAGGCGGAAGGCGUGGUGUAGCGGUGAAAUGCUUAGAUAGCACGAAGAACUCCGAUUGCGAAGGCAGCUUACUAAGCUGCCACUGACAUUGAUGCUCGAAAGUGUGGGUAUCAAACAGGAUUAGAUACCCGGGUAGUC